GACGAAUGCUGGCGGCGUGCUUAACACAUGCAAGUCGAACGGAAAGGCCCUGCUUGCAGGGUACUCGAGUGGCGAACGGGUGAGUAACACGUGGGUGAUCUGCCCUGCACUUCGGGAUAAGCCUGGGAAACUGGGUCUAAUACCGGAUAGGAGCCAUUUUUAGUGUGAUGGUUGGAAAGUUUUUUCGGUGUAGGAUGAGCUCGCGGCCUAUCAGCUUGUUGGUGGGGUAAUGGCCUACCAAGGCGGCGACGGGUAGCCGGCCUGAGAGGGUGGACGGCCACAUUGGGACUGAGAUACGGCCCAGACUCCUACGGGAGGCAGCAGUGGGGAAUAUUGAACAAUGGGCGCAAGCCUGAUGCAGCGACGCCGCGUGGGGGAUGACGGCCUUCGGGUUGUAAACUCCUUUCGCUAGGGACGAAGCUUUUGUGACGGUACCUAGAUAAGAAGCACCGGCUAACUACGUG
This 464-nucleotide ribosomal RNA is filed under the name uncultured bacterium. RNAcentral describes it as "partial 16S ribosomal RNA". It matches the Rfam family "Bacterial small subunit ribosomal RNA", at positions 28 to 507 of the family's 1533-position model. The record is from RNAcentral.